Molecule: transfer RNA, 65 nt
Filed under: Cyrtotrachelus buqueti
Lineage: Eukaryota; Metazoa; Arthropoda; Insecta; Coleoptera; Curculionidae
Description: tRNA-Asn
Source: RNAcentral
UUAAUUGAAACCAAAAAGAGGUAUGCCACUGUUAAUGGCACUAAUGGGAGCCCCCCCCAAUUAAA